AGGACGAACGCUGGCGGCGUGCCUAAUACAUGCAAGUCGAACGGAGUCAAUUCGGUGGUAACACCGGAGAAGACUGAGUGGCGAACGGGUGCGUAACACGUGAGCAACCUGUCCCAAAGACCGGGAUAACACCGGGAAACCGAUGCUAAUACCGGAUGUCCCCAUUGGUCCGCAUGGACUGAUGAGGAAAGGAUUCUGCUUUGGGAGGGGCUCGCGGCCUAUCAGCUUGUUGGUGGGGUAAUGGCCUACCAAGGCGACGACGGGUAGCUGGUCUGAGAGGACGAUCAGCCACACUGGGACUGAGACACGGCCCAGACUCCUACGGGAGGCAGCAGUAGGGAAUCUUGCGCAAUGGGCGAAAGCCUGACGCAGCAACGCCGCGUGGGGAUGAAGGCCUUCGGUUGUAACUCUUUAGUGGAACGAAUUGACGGUACCACAGAAGAGCCCGGCAACUACGCGCCAGCAGCCGC
RNAcentral lists this ribosomal RNA (470 nucleotides) under uncultured bacterium. RNAcentral describes it as "SSU rRNA". It matches the Rfam family "Bacterial small subunit ribosomal RNA", at positions 26 to 518 of the family's 1533-position model. The record is from RNAcentral.